This 314-nucleotide ribosomal RNA is filed under the name uncultured bacterium. RNAcentral's name for it is "bacterial SSU rRNA". It matches the Rfam family "Bacterial small subunit ribosomal RNA", at positions 28 to 334 of the family's 1533-position model. The record is from RNAcentral.
GAUGAACGCUGGCGGCGUGCUUAACACAUGCAAGUCGAACGGACUUUACAUGAAGCCUAGCGAUUGUAAAGUUAGUGGCGGACGGGUGAGUAACGCGUGAAUAACCUGCCUUAUACUGGGGGACAACAGUUGGAAACGACUGCUAAUACCGCAUAAGCGCACUAAAGCUGCAUGGCUCAGUGUGAAAAACUCCGGUGGUAUAAGAUGGAUUCGCGUCUGAUUAGCUAGUUGGUGGGGUAACGGCUCACCAAGGCGACGAUCAGUAGCCGGCCUGAGAGGGUGAACGGCCACAUUGGGACUGAGACACGGCCCAA